AUGUUCUCUGUAGCUCUGCUGCUGUUGGCUGCUGGAUCCUGUGUGAAGUGUCAACAGUUGACACAGCCAGCCUCUGUGACUGUGCAGCCAGGUCAACGUCUGACCAUCACCUGUCAGGUCUCUUAUUCUGUGGGCAGCUAUCCCACAGCUUGGAUCAGACAGCCUGCAGGGAAAGGACUGGGGUGGAUUGGAUAUAGCUGUGCUGGAUGCACCACAUCUUACAAAGAUUCACUGAAGAACAAGUUCAGUAUCAGCUUAGACUCUUCCAGCAAGACAGUGACUCUAAACGGACAGAAUGUGCAGCCUGAAGACACUGCUGUGUAUUACUGUGCCAGAGAGCCACAGUGACACAAAGCAUCA
Molecule: non-coding RNA, 360 nt
Organism: Epinephelus lanceolatus (giant grouper)
Lineage: Eukaryota; Metazoa; Chordata; Actinopteri; Perciformes; Serranidae
Source: the annotation of a RefSeq genome assembly